This 460-nucleotide ribosomal RNA is filed under the name uncultured bacterium. Its description in RNAcentral is "partial 16S ribosomal RNA". It matches the Rfam family "Bacterial small subunit ribosomal RNA", at positions 338 to 795 of the family's 1533-position model. The record is from RNAcentral.
CCUACGGGUGGCAGCAGUGAGGAAUAUUGGUCAAUGGGCGCGAGCCUGAACCAGCCAAGUAGCGUGAAGGAUGACUGCCCUACGGGUUGUAAACUUCUUUUAUAAAGGAAUAAAGUGAGGCACGUGUGCCUUUUUGUAUGUACUUUAUGAAUAAGGAUCGGCUAACUGCGUGCCAGCAGCCGUGGUAAUAAGGAGGAUCCGAGCGUUAUCCGGAUUGAUUGGGUUUAAAGGGAGCGUAGAUGGGUUGUUAAGUCAGUUGUGAAAGUUUGCGGCUCAACCGUAAAAUUGCAAUUGAUACUGGCAGACUUGAGUACAGUUGAGGUAGGCGGAAUUCGUGGUGUAGCAGUGAAAUGCUUAGAUAUCACGAAGAACUCCGAUUGCGAAGGCAGCUUACUAAACUGCCACUGACAUUGAUGCACGAAAGUGUGGGUAUCGAACGGGAUUAGAUACCCCGGUAGUC